RNAcentral lists this ribosomal RNA (253 nucleotides) under uncultured bacterium. Its description in RNAcentral is "partial 16S ribosomal RNA". It matches the Rfam family "Bacterial small subunit ribosomal RNA", at positions 524 to 776 of the family's 1533-position model. The record is from RNAcentral.
UACGUAGGGGGCGAGCGUUGUCCGGAGUUACUGGGCGUAAAGGGCACGCAGGCGGUCCCUUCAGUUUGAAGUGACAGUUGGUGGCUUAACUGCCAAAGGGCUUCGAAUACUGGGGGACUUGAGAGCUUCAGAGGGACUCGGAAUUCCGGGUGGAGUGGUGAAAUGCGUAGAGAUCCGGAGGAACACCAAAGGCGAAGGCAGAGUCCUGGGAAGCAUCUGACGCUCAGGUGCGAAAGCCAGGGGAGCGAACGGG